This is a non-coding RNA of Paramuricea clavata, 476 nucleotides long. The record is from the annotation of a GenBank genome assembly. Lineage: Eukaryota; Metazoa; Cnidaria; Anthozoa; Malacalcyonacea; Plexauridae.
UCUUAUAAAGUGUCCAACCCCACCAAAAUUUUGUUUCAAAAGUCUUUAACCCUAAUACCAAACCCCUGUAAAAAGCUCACUCAGUGGUGCUGCUUGCCCCCCCCCUGAAAGGUUUCCACCCGUCCUUUAAAAAAAAAAAUCCACCCUUUUUAAUUAAAAAAGUCAACCCUAUACUUGAUACACUGAACAUAGACAAUAGACAUCCACAACAUCUGCAGCAAUUAGUGGGUGCAAAUACGUGCAUAGUUGAAAAGCAAUAUAACCAACAUGUUGUCAUCCAGUUCCAUACUCUAGUCAAUAGGCAAUUCCAGCUUUUAAUUUAUGCGUGCAGGGGGCAACAGGAAGUAAGGUAUCAUAUUGCUGAUUAUGCUGAAAAAUUUUAAUAAAAUAAACUAAAAGCUGGAAUUGCCUAUUGCACUUGGGUUCCUUGGAUUCAAUGGUGCUGGCCAUAUUCUUACAUUCACUGUUUUAUCUUG